RNAcentral lists this unclassified non-coding RNA (253 nucleotides) under uncultured Phycisphaeraceae bacterium. Its description in RNAcentral is "contains 16S-23S intergenic spacer region". It matches the Rfam family "Bacterial small subunit ribosomal RNA", at positions 524 to 776 of the family's 1533-position model. Lineage: Bacteria; Pseudomonadati; Planctomycetota; Phycisphaerae; Phycisphaerales; Phycisphaeraceae. The record is from RNAcentral.
UACAGAGGCCACAAGCGUUAGUCGGAAUCACUGGGCUUAAAGGGUGCGUAGGCGGGAGUGAAAGUGUUUUGUGAAAUCCCACGGCUCAACCGUGGAACAGCAGGGCAAACUACACUCCUUGAGGCAUGUAGGGGCGGGCAGAACAGUAGGUGGAGCGGUGAAAUGCGUAGAUAUCUACUGGAAUGCCGAUGGUGAAGACGGCCCGCUGGGCAUGUCCUGACGCUGAGGCACGAAAGCGUGGGGAGCAAACAGG